UACCUAUCAUCUUUUAUUCGACAUCUCUACCAUGUUAUUAUUCUUCGGUGCUGAAAAGUCGGAUUCCAAUAUCCACCACUUUGUGUUGCUGUCGGGAACCAAUAAUGUCCAUCUUCUUGUCUUAUAUUCACGUGUCACAUUCUAAAUAUUUCUAACAAGUGAAAGAUGACUAAUCUGACCAAACCCACAAAACAUUGUCGUUUAAUUAGCAAAUAAUGCUGAUGAAAAGUCUUCACUUGUUCUCUUCCUCAAUUCUCCACCGAUUUGCUUCCCGCAGCAUGUUUUGUUUUCAACUAAUUAAAGUUAUAAUUGGUUAAAGAGAUUGUAGAUUCGUUAAUAACCGGUUAUUAACUCAAAAGCAUCAAUCUUUUUUCCCUUUUUUCUGGCUUGAUUGGUAUUAGAAUUCGAAAUGGGCCAGUGAACUUAAAUGAGCCAUUGAACUUUAAGAGACCCAAGUAAGUGAGAUCCUUGCUAGCUGAGUUUCUAUCGGUGUAUUUGAUUAUGGCUAUAAAAGUGAAAGACAUUUUAGAACGAGUUAAACUGAUAUCUCUCAACCAAGGAGGAGCCUACUUCAAUACUCAAGGACAAGAUUCAUCUGUUAUUCUCCGUGUAAAAGAAGAUCAUGAUGGUGCAGGGGCUUCAGGAAGCUCUGUUUCUGCUAUUAACCUUGUGAGAUUAUAGCUUCCACAGUCUCCCGGCAGUCUUCGAGUUGAGGUUAAGAGAUGGCGGUACCGCUGAUUUGCUGCUCUUCAGAUACUAUCUUUGUUCAGUCGAGAAAACAAGUUGUAUUGCUCGGUUCUAAGUCUUCUCUAGCGAUCAACAACAUGCUUUCCGCAGCAUACUCUGUUUAUGAUCUCCAAAGCCGGUCCUAGGCAAAACCGAAUGAAUUUUUUAAAAAAAUUACAUAGACAUAGGUUUCUAAAAUUAUUUAAAAAAAAUAAAAAUUGAAAUCUUUACUAAAUGGCCUAAAGUCUCCCAAAAUCUAUGGGCAAGCCCUGGUCAUCUUAAUAAAACAGUUAGAGGCUUAAACUGAUUCCAGUUUUCAGCUCAACGGGCAGUAAAUUUGUGAUUUUUUUGUGGGUGUUUUUGCUGAGAAGGUGAUUCAAACAGAUCCUUCAUGAGAUGAGAUGGGAUUCUAGGAAGAGUAUAAGAGUAAUGUAGCUGAGAUGGCGAAGGGAAACAAAAACUCCGAGAAAGUUGUGACUCUUGCUUGUCAACACUUCGCUUGUAGUACUGUCUUUGAUUCUUCUUCUCUUACUCGCUUACUCUCCAAGUAAUAAAGAGAUUCCAUGUUUUAAUGGUUGCUUGUGUUGUAAAGAGCAUGAUCAACGUUUUGGUUUCUGUAAAGUUAAUAAAUAAAGGAGGCGUCUUCUGGUAAUGGCAAUGUGGAAACUUAACCGAGUUUUGUAAGUAUGUGAUUUGAUUUGUGAAUAUGGAGUUGCUCAGACAGCCAUCAUUGUUUUGGCAGGUUCAAAACUCAAAAGCAAGCAUGUGACAAAUUCGACCCUUCGUUCUACCCUCUUUUUAAGAAAUGGUAUGAUGAUUACUUUUACAUUAAGGUCUGCGGUUAAUUUAACACCAUUCCAAUUGUUUUUGUGAGAUCUUAGCAUGUUCUGGAACUAGAGACUUUAAUUAUUAGACUCAUGUGUAAGGAAUAGGUUUAAUUAUUAGAGUCAUGUGUAAGAGUCUCAAGGUGUGGUUAGGUUGAUGCAAUAAUAAAAGCUUUUGUCCUGUGUGGUUUGAAAACUCUAGAAAAACUUAAAUGGUUUGCGACACUAACAAAGCUUGGAGGGAUAUUUUUUGAUGAUCUGAAUGACUAUGUCAGAAGAUGUGUCUGUCAUUUGCAACAGCAACAAAGCAUUUGACAAUUUGUCUUUAGAAACUUCCUAGUUAUCAAUUCAAAAGAAAAAAAAACUUCCUAGUUAGCUAAUUUGAAUUCUGAGACGAUUUCUGCAGAAGUGCUAGCUCAGUAAUACAAGCUUAUAUAUAUAUACCCAUAAAGACAUUCAGUGAGCAACACAAGGCAUGUCAACAGUUAUCAAGGUGGAGUAUUUUGAAUUAACUUGGUAAGAUUAGAUAUCUGCUUUGUUUAUAAAAUCUCUUCUGUCUCUUAUAGAAACCUCUCGUGCCACAUAUUUGUUACCAAUAUACUAUUUCUGUUUAAAAAAAAAAAUAUAUAUAUAUAUAUAUAUAUAUACUAUUUCUGUUUCGUAAUAUAUGAUGUUAGUUUUAUAAUUGGUUCAAUCACUUUUUUUCAUCUGUUAAAUUCAUUGAUAGACCUAUGAAAGGUCAUAAAGGUGUUACAAAUCAAACCACCAUCUGACAUCCCCUCAAAAAAUACCAUCACUUCAAGACCAAUCUAUACAAACCAUUGAUCUACAGCCAAAAAAAACAUUCCAAAAUAAGUUCCUAAAUAAUUGGUUCAAUCACUUUAAAUUGAUAUUUUUAGUGAUGCUUUUAGAUAAAAAAUAUUUUUUUUAGUUUUUGUGUUUUAGGCAUAACAUUUUAUAAUUUAAAAUAGAUGGAGUAUAUAUAUUUUUUAAAAGGUGUAUGACCAGGGAUAUAAGUUAUAAGAGUAUCUCCAACCCAGAACACUAUUAUAGUGUCAAAACCACAUUAUUUUAGUAUAAUUUCAACACAAAAAAAAGGUUUUUUUCCAACCAUAACACCAAAUUUUACACUAAAAGCUAUUUUAUAAUAUUAUAUGUAUUUAUAGUUUUAUUUGUCAUUUAUUUAAUUGUCCAUUUUAUUAAUAAAUUAAGUGAAUAAUUUUUUAGUGGGGUGAAUAGUGUUUUAGUGUGGUGAAUAGUGUCAUACCAAAUUUGGUGUGAAAUUAUAGUGUUGCAUUAAAAUAGUGUGAUUUUUAGUGUUGGAUUGGAGAAGUUUUUAGUGUCAAAAUUACACUAAAAUAGUGUUUUGGAUUUGGGUUGGAAAUGGCCUAACCAUGCAAAGUUUUUUUUGGCUUAGAUAACCAUGCAAAGUUCUUAAUAUGUUAUCAAAAUCAAGAAAGUAAAUCUUUGUUCAUUCUAGCUGAAUACUAUUGAUUUUUUCUCGAGUUGUGGAUGCAGAAAUCAUGAGGAAUGGAGACGCUAUUAGAUGCUUGUGUCAGCCCAGAAGAGUGUAUUUUGUUAAUCAAGGUUAUUAUCAUAUUAUGCUCAUUGGCUCUUUGUUAAUUUUGAGUAAAAACCCUUAAAAGGGUAAGAGUCUAAUGAAGAAUGAGACAGUAGACCUAUAAU
Brassica rapa (field mustard) is the source of this 3236-nucleotide long non-coding RNA. RefSeq lists it as uncharacterized. NCBI's taxonomy places the organism in Eukaryota, Viridiplantae, Streptophyta, Magnoliopsida, Brassicales, Brassicaceae. The record is from RefSeq and is a predicted model, not a curated record.